This is a long non-coding RNA of Rhinopithecus roxellana (golden snub-nosed monkey), 2319 nucleotides long. RefSeq lists it as uncharacterized. The transcript is spliced from 3 exons. The record is from RefSeq and is a predicted model, not a curated record. NCBI's taxonomy places the organism in Eukaryota, Metazoa, Chordata, Mammalia, Primates, Cercopithecidae.
GCUGAGGCAUGGGAAUCCCUUGAGCCCAGGAGGUUGAGGCUGCAGUGAGUGGUGACUGCGCCAUUGUUCGUUCCUUUCAUUCUCUAUAUUCUCUAUGCACUGCCCAUCCCCCAUUUUGUUUCAUCUGUGCCCUGAUAUAGUUACUCUGGCCUGUGCCUUUUUGGCUGCAUACCUGUGGUUUUGGAUAGUUACCCAUGCAAUUCUGGAUGGACAUCUAGGUUUAGAAACUAGUAGAGAUUGGUCUAAUGACUUGCCUGUCCCCUCUUCCCAUAUAUGGCCUCAGCAAAUCCCAUUUCUCAAAUGUGUACUCUCAUUUUCACUGUCAUGUUUAGCUGCUCAGCAGAGGUGAUGGGCUACUAAUCACACCUGAGUCAUCUCAUGUACUCUUUCAGACUUCAAACUACCUUAGCUUUCCAGUUUUUCAACUAAGCUAAGAUGGGAGGUUUCUGUUCAUUGUGGAAAGAGGCUCUUUUCUCCUCAUAGACGUAUUCCAAUGUUUAUCUUUAAUUAUUAACAAGAAUUAUUAAAUGCUUAGUUCAUUGCUUGCACACGGUAUUCAAAAAACUGAAUUUUCCUUUCCUGAGUUCUGUUUGACACAUUUCAUUUCCUCAUUGCUCACCUCUUAGCCAUUUUUCUGCCAUACAGGCCCUCCUCCUCAUGCCCUCUUUUUUUUUUUUCUUAGCAUUUCAAUAUGUUUCUUUCCAAUUAUUUCUAUGCUUUGGAAAAAUAUAAUUGAAAAAUUACUGCAUGUCCUUUUUUCACUUGCUAUUUUAACAUAACUAUUUUCCUGUUAAAAUUAUUAACUAUAAUUUUGAUAACUGCUAGAUAUAGCAGCUAUACCAAGCUUCAUCUGGCCAUUUUCCUAUAAUCAAACAUUUAGGUGCUCAUGUGUUUACACAUACAUUUUUGUUCACAUUGUUUAUUAUUUCCCUACCUGAGGCUUCUAGAAGUGGGAUUACAAUGGUAAGCAUUUUAAGAGGAAUACAAAAGCUAGUUUCAUAUUAAGAACUGAUACCACAUUAAGAAGUGAUACUGCUGUUUUCUCACCAGCAGACUACUAACUUUUCAAGUCCCAUUGAUAUUACAGCAAAAAAGAAUGGCUUUACGAAUCUCAUUCAUUUUAUAAGUAGCAUCAUCUUCAUUUUAAAAAUAUAAGUCAUCUAAUUGUUUGCAGUGUUAUACACUGUUCAGAGAACUACAUAGCUCUGAUUCCUUCAUUCCAAAAGUGUACAUUCCAAGGAAGAUACACUGAUGUGAAGAUUCACCAAAUGCAGACAAGAACUAUUAAAAGUACCCCAUGGAUGGACCUCCAAAUGAGUGUAGGGUAAUUGCGCUUAAAAUAUUAGGACCAAAGUACAUUUAUUUUAUAGAUGGAGGAGGGGAGGAGAUGAGUGGGGACCAGCUGAGACAUCCAGUCUUCACCUGGACAUAUGGAAAGAACAAAUGUGUGGUCUGCUCAUUCCCUCCGAAGGUCUCUGUUGUUAUAUAUUUCCUCCUCUCUUCCAGAGCAUAAUAACCAAUGACUGUUCUCAGAAAGGUACUGUGACCACCACUUGCUUGGCUCUCCAACCUCCUCCCCCAUUUCCCUCUUGAUUCCUCUUUGCCAUAUCACCUUCUGUCCCCUAGCCUUGCCUCAGGUCCCUGACGAAUCCUGCCCUUAAUCUGUGGGGGUGGUAGAUGGCACUGGUUUGAAGAGCUUACUGGAUCUCCCUCAGUGUGUCAGCCUGGAGUUGUGUUUGAAAACCACAGGCCCUGACUGUGGCUGUCAGACCUCCCAGACACCACCUGCUGCUGCCCGUCAUCAUCUUCAGGUGCUGGGCUCCCCUGUGGGCCUCCUCCUCCCGCCUCUGCUGCAGCGGUCCCAUGGGUGUCCGCCCUCUCUGACACCACAAGAGAAGCCAUCUAGAUUCCAGGAACAAAGUCAUCUUUAUUUGCCUCCUUCCCACUGAAGAACAGGCCCAAGGGAGAGGGAAAACUGGAUACCCACCUGUGUCGCUGUUUGUGUGCCAAGUCCAGGAACAGUCCAUACAGCCCUGAGGCAUCCCACGACGCUGUCACAAAGAAGUUCAUCCGAGGCCGAGGUGUUGUCACCAGAAUGUUCAUUAAAAUGGAGAAACUGAGGCCCAGAAAUUGAUCUCCAGAAUGCUUUGCUCUUAGCCACUAUACUAUUAUGGCAUAUUUUAUCUUUAUGUAUUGCAUUAUUUCAUGGAUUCAAGUUUAUCAAUGUCCUUUGACAAGUUUAAAAAUCUGUCUGCUCACAUGCACAUGUAUGUUCAUUGCGGCACUAUUCACAAUAGCAAAGACUUGGAAUCAACCCAA